Molecule: long non-coding RNA, 743 nt
Organism: Daphnia pulex (common water flea)
Lineage: Eukaryota; Metazoa; Arthropoda; Branchiopoda; Diplostraca; Daphniidae
Exons: 2
Source: RefSeq, a predicted model, not a curated record
GUCAAUGGUAUCGGUCGCUACUCUUGAUAGUCCGAUAGUAUUUUUUUCAAAAAGUAAGCACUUGCUUCAUAAAGCAAUAGUUUUUGCGUACAAAAUGUUAAAAAUUUAAAUUUGCAGAUACUUAGGAUAAUUUAAUAUGGUUUUUUCUUCCGAAGUAUUUAUUGGUGAUGCUUGGGGAAAUGGGCUUAAUUAAUUCUACUUCCGCAGUACUUAUUGAUGAUGACUGGUGCUGAGGGGCCUGACACGACGUGAAAACGAGAUGACGUUGUUUUAGUAUAGAAAUAUUCCUCUAAAUGCUCAAACGCAGGCGCUCACCUACCAUACUCUUUGUUAUGAGAGAGUUUAACAGAGAUUUAUAGGUAACUAUACUUGCAAAUAUGUCCUUCUACUGUGAAAUUUCAGGGCAGCUGAUGUUGGAACAAGACCUUCAGGAUUCACAGAUGUUGUCAAGGAAACAUUAAGAGCUUUUGUUUUCAAUUUCUGAUAUCGUUGGCUAUCCAAAUUCUCACUAUAGGUAGUCCAGAGUAUACAAUUAUCAUUGCACUUUCUCCAGCAACAUAUUUUGGUUAAAGUCUAUUUAUCAUUGCCAGUAGAUUCUUCAGUACAAUUCAUUUUAUCAUUAGUAUCCUGUAAUUUAAUGGGAUUAUUUUUUGUUUUAAGUUGUAUCUAGUCAUUUUAUAUGUAUCAACAUUUUAUUUGGUUAUUUAUACCGGUUGAACAAAUUCGAAUGGGGGCGAUGGAGA